GAUGAACGCUGGCGGCGUGCCUAACACAUGCAAGUCGAACGGAGUCCAGCCUUAGAGACCUUCGGGUCAAAGAGGGGAAGCCUGAGUGGCGGACGGGUGAGUAACACGUGGGCAACCUGGCUCAUAGAGGGGGAUAACAGAGAGAAAUUUCUGCUAAUACCGCAUAAGCACACACUGCCGCAUGGCAGAGUGUGAAAAGAGAAUCGCUAUGAGAUGGACCCGCGUCUGAUUAGCCAGUUGGCAGGGUAAGAGCCUACCAAAGCGACGAUCAGUAGCCGAUUUGAGAGGAUGAACGGCCACAUUGGGACUGAGACACGGCCCAAACUCCUACGGGAGGCAGCAGUGGGGGAUAUUGCACAAUGGGGGGAACCCUGAUGCAGCGACGCCGCGUGAGUGAAGAAGUAUUUCGGUAUGUAAAGCUCUAUCAGCAGGGAAGAUAAUGACAGUACCUGAAUAAGAAGCCCCGGCUAACUACGUG
Molecule: ribosomal RNA, 478 nt
Filed under: uncultured bacterium
Lineage: Bacteria
Description: partial 16S ribosomal RNA
Rfam family: Bacterial small subunit ribosomal RNA
Source: RNAcentral